Molecule: long non-coding RNA, 908 nt
Organism: Camelina sativa (false flax)
Lineage: Eukaryota; Viridiplantae; Streptophyta; Magnoliopsida; Brassicales; Brassicaceae
Source: RefSeq, a predicted model, not a curated record
UGGGGCUUGAAGGGAAAAGAGAUAAAAAAUAAAACAGAAAAUGGAAAAAACUUGAAGAGCUCCUCUCCUCUUAUAUAGUAACCUCAACUUCACAUAAGAGACUGUGACGUGUUGCUAAAUCGUUGGCUCCCUUUAAUCCACAGCAAAAAAUUUGGCCGAUUGUUUUUUUUUCUCCCUCUCCCUCUCUCUCUCUUUGUCGCGAAUCUCUCAAUCGGAUGAGAUGGGAUCGGUUGGAAUCAUUGGAGAUUGGAAUCGGAGGAGGAGAUUGAAUCAUCGAUGUGGCUUAUAGUCCGAUGACUCCAGAUGGAUUCUUUCUCAUUAGCGCAAGCAAAGGUUUGAAUGAUGAAGGGGAAUGAUGCUGCGACGUCGGUUGAGCUGUUGUAUCUAUCACGUAGAUGGAGAAUAUGGUACACUUUCUCGCUGAAUCGGGAAUGAUGCAUAGGAAUAUGAGAAGAAAGGAUUUACUUCUUUGGCUUCUCCUCCUACUCGGCGUGUCAACAUCUUUCUCCCAGGCUAGUUAGUUUGUAACUUGCAGGUGAAGUUCACAGUUGAAGAGCAACGGAAAAUUAUGGAUCGAAAACACAACAUCCGUAACAUGUCUGUCAUUGCCCAUGUCGAUCAUGACUGAUCUUGUUGGUGAGCCAGAACUAGCUUCAUUGAUGCAGCUGAUAAAGAAGGCAGCUAUAGAGAUCCAAGAGGAGUGGGAGAUUUUACUGAGUUGCCGUUCUGAUACACUGACCAAGAGUUGGGUAUCAAGCACAAUAUUGAGACCGUUCCUCUUCUUUAUCAGAUUUUUGUCUAUCCAACAUCAAAAGAUACAGUCAAGAGAUAUACAUCAAAACAAUAUUUUCAAAAUAAGAGACCCAUAAUUAUAUACUACUAUUGGAGGAUGCAAUUUAAAAUUAAGA